This 468-nucleotide ribosomal RNA is filed under the name uncultured bacterium. RNAcentral describes it as "partial 16S ribosomal RNA". It matches the Rfam family "Bacterial small subunit ribosomal RNA", at positions 28 to 507 of the family's 1533-position model. The record is from RNAcentral.
GACGAACGCUGGCGGCGUGCUUAACACAUGCAAGUCGAACGGAAAGGCCCUGCUUUUGUGGGGUGCUCGAGUGGCGAACGGGUGAGUAACACGUGAGUAACCUGCCCUUGACUUUGGGAUAACUUCAGGAAACUGGGGCUAAUACCGGAUAGGAGCUCCUGCUGCAUGGUGGGGGAUGGAAAGUUUCGGCGGUUGGGGAUGGACUCGCGGCUUAUCAGCUUGUUGGUGGGGUAGUGGCUUACAAAGGCUUUGACGGGUAGCCGGCCUGAGAGGGUGACCGGCCACAUUGGGACUGAGAUACGGCCCAGUCUCCUACGGGAGGCAGCGGUGGGGAAUAUUGCACAAUGGGCGGAAGCCUGAUGCAGCAACGCCGCGUGCGGGAUGACGGCCUUCGGGUUGUAAACCGCUUUCGCCUGUGACGAAGCGUGAGUGACGGUAAUGAGUAAAGAAGCACCGGCUAACUACGUG